AACGAACGCUGGCGGCAGGCCUAACACAUGCAAGUCGAGCGAGAAGACGUAGCAAUACGUUUGUAAAGCGGCGAACGGGUGAGGAAUACAUGGGUAACCUACCCUCGAGUGGGGAAUAACUAGCCGAAAGGUUAGCUAAUACCGCGUACGCUCCUUGGACUUCGGUUCAGGGAGGAAAGCGAUACCGUGGGUAUCGCGCUCUUGGAUGGGCUCAUGUCCUAUCAGCUUGUUGGUGAGGAACGGCUCACCAAGGCUUCGACGGGUAGCUGGUCUGAGAGGACGAUCAGCCACACUGGCACUGCGACACGGGCCAGACUCCUACGGGAGCAGCAGUAAGGAAUAUUGCGCAAUGGGCGAAAGCCUGACGCAGCGACGCCGCGUGGGGGA
This 387-nucleotide ribosomal RNA is filed under the name uncultured bacterium. RNAcentral's name for it is "bacterial SSU rRNA". It matches the Rfam family "Bacterial small subunit ribosomal RNA", at positions 29 to 408 of the family's 1533-position model. The record is from RNAcentral.